This 308-nucleotide long non-coding RNA is filed under the name Mytilus galloprovincialis (Mediterranean mussel). Lineage: Eukaryota; Metazoa; Mollusca; Bivalvia; Mytilida; Mytilidae. The record is from RNAcentral.
UAUAAAAAAACUAGAGGCUCUUAAGAGCCUGUGUCGCUCACCUUGGUCUAUGUGCAUAUUCAACAAAAGACACAGAUGGAUUAAUGACAAAAUUGUGUUUUGGUGAUGGUGAUGUGUUUGUAGAUCUUACUUUACUGAACAUUCUUGCUACUAACAAUUAUCUUCAUCUUUAAUGAACUUGGCCCAUUAGUUACGGAGGAAAAUAUUUUGUUAAAAAUUUACAAAAAUUUACAAAAUUUAUGAAAAUUGUUAAAAAUUUACUGUAGAGAGCUGUAACUCCUUAAGGGGUCAACUGACCAUUUUUGUCA